This 462-nucleotide ribosomal RNA is filed under the name uncultured bacterium. RNAcentral describes it as "partial 16S ribosomal RNA". It matches the Rfam family "Bacterial small subunit ribosomal RNA", at positions 339 to 795 of the family's 1533-position model. The record is from RNAcentral.
CUACGGGAGGCAGCAGUAACGAAUAUUCCGCAAUGGACGAAAGUCUGACGGAGCGACGCCGCGUGUGGGAAGAAGUCCUUCGGGAUGUAAACCACUGUCAGGGAUUACCAAGCAAACAGGCCUAACAGGUCUGCGCGUUGAGGAGUCCCAGAGGAAGCCACGGCUAACUUCGUGCCAGCAGCCGCGGUAAUACGAAGGUGGCGAGCGUUGUUCGGAAUCAUUGGGCUUAAAGGGCACGCAGGCGGCCCAUCAAGUGUCUUGUGAAAUCCCCCGGCCCAACCGGGGAAUGGCUUGGCAAACUGAUGGGCUUGAGGUAGGUAAGGGCGCGGGGAACUCUUGGUGGAGCGGUGAUAUGCGUAGAUAUCAAGAGGAACGCCGGUGGUGAAGACGCCGCGCUAGGCCUGUCCUGACGCUGAGGUGCGAAAGCCAGGGGAGCGAACGGGAUUAGAUACCCCGGUAGUC